ACGCGAAGACCUGACGGCAGCAGUACCACCGUGAGGGAUGAAGGAUUUUGGUCUGUAAACCUCUUUUCUCAAGAAAGAAGUUCUGACGGUACUUGAGGAAUAAGCAUCGGCUAACUCCGUGCCAGCAGCCGCGGUAAUACGGGGGAUGCAAGCGUUAUCCGGAAUCAUUGGGCGUAAAGCGCCUGUAGGUUGUCUAAUAAGUCUGUUGUUAAAGACCAGGGCUUAACCCUGGGAAAGCGAUGGAAACUACUAGGCUUGAGUAUGGUAGGGGUAGAGGGAAUUUCUAGUGUAGCGGUGAAAUGCGUAGAUAUUAGAAAGAACACCGGUGGCGAAAGCGCUCUACUGGGCCAUUACUGACACUGAGAGGCGAAAGCUAGGGGAGCAAAAGGGAUUAGAUACCCCUGUAGUCCUAGCCGUAAACGAUGGAUACUAGGUGUUGUAUUAUUAUACAGUAUCGUAGCUAACGCGUUAAGUAUCCCGCCUGGGGAGUACGCUCGCAAGGGUGAAACUCAAAGGAAUUGACGGG
Molecule: ribosomal RNA, 526 nt
Filed under: uncultured bacterium
Lineage: Bacteria
Description: bacterial SSU rRNA
Rfam family: Bacterial small subunit ribosomal RNA
Source: RNAcentral